Molecule: small nucleolar RNA, 204 nt
Organism: Cynocephalus volans (Philippine flying lemur)
Lineage: Eukaryota; Metazoa; Chordata; Mammalia; Dermoptera; Cynocephalidae
Product: small nucleolar RNA SNORA73 family
Exons: 1
Source: RefSeq, a predicted model, not a curated record
CCACAUGGAUACUCCCUGGAGGUCACUCUCCCUGGGUUCUGUCCAAGUGGCAUUGGGAGUGGGGGCACAGGGCUCUGCCCCAUCAUGAACAGUCCCUUUUCGUGAUGAUGGAGAUGAUGCUGGGCCUUGAGACUGCGCCUGCAUAUUCCGACAACUUCUCAGAGUCUGCGGACAAUGAGGAGAUAAACCAUGCAGGAAAGUCUU